UACGUAGGGGGCGAGCGUUGUCCGGAUUUAUUGGGCGUAAAGAGCUCGUAGGCGGUUUGGCAAGUCGGGUGUGAAAACUCCGGGCUCAACUCGGAGACGCCACUCGAUACUGCCAUGACUCGAGUCCGGUAGGGGAGUGCGGAAUUCCUGGUGUAGCGGUGAAAUGCGCAGAUAUCUGGAGGAACACCGGUGGCGAAGGCGGCAUCCUGGACCAUUACUGACGCUGAGGAGCGAAAGCCAGGGGAGCAAACGGG
RNAcentral lists this ribosomal RNA (254 nucleotides) under uncultured bacterium. RNAcentral's name for it is "partial 16S ribosomal RNA". It matches the Rfam family "Bacterial small subunit ribosomal RNA", at positions 524 to 776 of the family's 1533-position model. The record is from RNAcentral.